ACUACGGAAGGGAGACCCACGGAAGCAGGGGAGGGGGGAGAGCAGUAGUAGCCGGAGGAAUAAGCUCGCGGCAGGUAAUAUAUGUAGUAGAGAAAGAGUAUCAGCUUUGGAAUCAGGAAGAAUUGGAUUUCAGUCUCAACUCUCCCUGUGUUAUUUUGGAUAAUUACUUAAGGUCCUGUGAGCGCACAGUGAGAAGCCAGGAGAGCACUCUCACCAGAGCCUGACGGUGCUGCCACCCAGUUCUCAGACUUCUAGCUUCUGGAACAGCGAGGAAAUACAUUUCUGCUGUGUGAGCACCCCGGCGACAAGAUUCUGUUACGGCAGCCCAAGCUAACUCACACAGAUUCUGGUAUCAGGAAGUGGGUGCUGCUCUAUCAAAUACCUAAAUAUGGGAGAAGUCUGAAAGAUCUCUUCCUCCAGUUUUGUGGAAGGAGUAUGACUGGAGAGCUGAGCUGGGUAUGACUGGAGAAGGGCUCUGCUGAAGACCAGAGAUCUCCGUGCCAUCUCCAUGCACUGUGGGAGGAAACUUCUGGAAGGACAGGGAAGGGACCGGGCAGCUGAGGUAGGGAGAGAAACUUGGAAGUGCACAAGAGUUCAAAUAGGAGUUUUAGCAAGUUUUUCUGUGUGAUAAGGAAUAUCAACAGUGCUUUUGCAAUUAAAUAAGCUUUUCUGACAUCUGAGAAAAUGAUCUCAAGGUAAAGCAAGAAUAAAACGGUCUGGGCGUUUGAGUUACAACACCUUUUUACUUCUCUUUCUUAUUAUUCCCUUCUGUUAUCGCUGAGUUUUCAAAUGCAGUCUUGUUUCAGAUAUCUUGCUUAUAUUUUAGGAAACUAAGGGAGAGUUUUGUGGCCAUCUUUGGGCUGAAUAAUUACACCAAAUCGAACGCAGUUUCAGAAGUAGGGGGAC
This is a long non-coding RNA of Mustela erminea (ermine), 906 nucleotides long. RefSeq lists it as uncharacterized. The transcript is spliced from 4 exons. Lineage: Eukaryota; Metazoa; Chordata; Mammalia; Carnivora; Mustelidae. The record is from RefSeq and is a predicted model, not a curated record.